RNAcentral lists this unclassified non-coding RNA (220 nucleotides) under Glomeraceae sp. RNAcentral describes it as "partial contains 5.8S ribosomal RNA and internal transcribed spacer 2". The stretch from base 1 to 71 matches the Rfam family "5.8S ribosomal RNA", at positions 84 to 154 of the family's 154-position model. The record is from RNAcentral. Lineage: Eukaryota; Fungi; Glomeromycota; Glomeromycetes; Glomerales; Glomeraceae.
GUGAAUCAUCGAAUUUUUGAACGCAAAUUGCACUUUCCGGUCUUCCGGAGAGUAUGCCUGUUUGAGGGUCGGUAAAAUGAAAUAUUGAUUUGUUGCUUAUUUCGUAACCUUCCGGAAUUGGGUUAAUUUGAUCAUAAGUGACUUAAAAUUACUUAAUAAUUUCGGUAUGAUUAACGUUAUUAAUGCUUUCGUUUUGUUGUCGGAUUUUAUCAGAUGUAAC